Hypomesus transpacificus is the source of this 1492-nucleotide long non-coding RNA. RefSeq lists it as uncharacterized. The transcript is spliced from 3 exons. The record is from RefSeq and is a predicted model, not a curated record. NCBI's taxonomy places the organism in Eukaryota, Metazoa, Chordata, Actinopteri, Osmeriformes, Osmeridae.
UUUCCAGGAAGUAUCAGGGUGGUGCCGACAUGUGGGAAAAAGUUACAAGGGAAAAACCAACCUUUUUCUCAAUAGAACGUUCAGAUUUCAAUGCAUUCCUAUGGGAUUUUCAGCAACAUGUCUUCAACUUGAUUUUUCUCAAAAUGUAUAUGUUUUAAAAUUGACUAAAUAUACCUUAUUUUGAAGAAAACAACCUACUCUUUCAUUUAAGAUAUGUCUCCCGGUGGUGCCGACCUUCUAUGAAAGGUUUGGUCCUCCAUAAAAAUGAGCAACGGACAGCGACGUUGAAGAGAACUGUUCAACAUCGAGUGAGCAGAGCGUUGAAGAUUCUUCGUGGUGAUCUGCUGCCCAUCAUCAACAGUGUUGGGAACUUCUGUGUGCUUCUUCUUACUUCCUGCUAUAACAACCAUUCUCCAUUCCACAAAUAUAGCUGUUGUUUCAACUCAUUUGUCAAUUGUGUACAGCAAUCAAGUGCCAAGAGUGGGUUUUCAUUCAAACAACCACUAUACCAGCUGAUUUUACAAUUGAGUUGCUGCUCUUUAUUAAACGGGACCCACAAAGUGAAAUCAGAUGGUGUAGUCGUGCUUGGUUACGUAAAUGUUUUACAAAGUUAUGUUAAAAAAAAAUUAGCACGGUAGGCAAUUUGGUGACAACCUGGCUGGUGUGUCAUUGACUAUCCAAUGUUAUCAAUCCAUAUAGCCUCCCUAUUAUAAUUGCACAUCCUCAUUACAAUUUCCAGAGGGCUUCUCUCAUGUCUCAUGACUGUCAAUACAUCUGCCAUCUUACAAGUUUAAUGCAGUUGACUGGCUUGAUAUUGCACAGGUUUUGCAUCCCUUAUGUAAGAGCCAUUUUCAUUGGUUUAUAUUUCGCAUCAAUUUGCACACAUCGCAACACUCAUGGGAAUGUAAAAAUGUUUGUUGAUGGAGCUUGAUGGACACAUGUACUUGCAUGUUCAAUGGAAGAACAUUGUGAUCAAUAAAGGGCCAUCAAAACACGGACAACAAGGAGUCAGUAAUUUCAACUGCCAGCUACGGAGCGGCGUACGGUAGAAGAAAGCGCGUCAGCUAGUUAUAGGCAUAUACAGUUUUAAGUCUGUAUAGCAGCCCCUAAGUGGCCUUAAGUUGUAGUCUUGGCCAUUAUCCAUAAACUGACUUUUUAAUCACACAUUGUGGUGCUAAUUGUGUGUUAUUGUUUAAGCACCCACAUGUGGCUGCACAGAAUUUGCCAACCAUGGUUUCUGAUGUUGUAUUAUGGGGUAGAAUGGUGUAUAAUUGGCCUUGUGUAUAUCAGGGUGAAGGCUAUGAAUGCAGGUAGGCCUAUGAGUGUGACCAUUGACAUUGUCUUACAAUACAAAGUGUAGCACACAAUGAGGGUUAAGGAAAAUGUUCCGAUGACACAGGUUAUUACUGGAUAAGAGUCGGCUAAAUUACAAUGUUAUUAACGUAGGUAGACUAUUAAAUAUGCAAGCUGUCUUUUGAACACUCGAUGUCCA